UCAUCUAUAAUAUAAAAAAAAAUUCUUACUAGUAGCUGUGAUGUUAUUGCUAACUGUAUAUCGUGUUUUGUGGAGUUGAGACAUGGGAAUACCCAUGCUGCUUAUAUGUGCAACCGAGACGUGCCAAUACCCAUGCUGACUCACUGGCUGAGUUUCACUUUCAAAGGGAUGUGCAAGAGUGCAAAGCUGUGAGGACAGUCAAGAUGUUUUACAGACUGUGGCGUGUGGAUUUAAGAGCGGAGGAGCUCGAGUGCUGAAAGGCUGAAGCGUUUACGAGCCGCCGCCGCCACAUCGUGAAGGACAAGUUAAUGGGCAGCUAAGAGGAGGAAUCUCAACCCUGCUGAUGACAAUGCCCUCGGAAAAAAGAGACAACGGGAGAAAAAACUUUUGACUCAACAUCACAAGAACCUCUGACCUCCAGAUCCAACAAAACCUCGAAACAACUCAGCCUACCCUCCAAUCAGAUCUUCUACUUUUCUCUCGCUCACACACCAGCAUGAACAAAUCACCCCAGCAUAAGGCUCCCACUCAUAUAAAAGCCAUUUCAUCUCUCCAAUGCAGAUAGCACAUAAAGAGAGAAGGCGAUGGCGGAGUAGGGGGGAUUGAGGGGGGAUCUGUCUGCAUCGCAGGACUGUAAGCACAUAGAAUAACUGUCGCACAGCCCAGCCAAAAGCCUUUAGCAUUCUGACAGAGCAGAUGUUAAGAGUAAUGACAGUGGAGAUUACCCAAUAAUUGUAGCAGCAUAAAUCAUUUGAGAGAGGGUGAGAAAGAAGAAGAGAAGGGGAAAAGGGGAGGGAUGGAACAAAGGAGGAUAAACCCCAGCUAAAGCGAGGAACGCCGUAUUGUUCGUGUGAAAAUGUAAAAUAGGGCAGUUUAUGUGCUGCGUUAGUUCCUUUUCCUAAAUGUUUUUCAGCAGAUAGUUCAUCUGUAGCUGCGUUAAAAGAGGGCAGACGCUUUCAGAAACGAGUGAACGCCAUGUUUUGCAGUGAAGGUUUUUGGUGGUGGUGCUCAUAGUUGGGGGGUAAUGGCAAUUAUGACAAUGUGGCUGCUGGUGUUACUGUCUAUGUUCUGGAGUUAAUCACUGUGAUCCAAGCUGCUGCUCGAGGCCAAAGAUGGAAGAUAGAGGUUCCCCUCCAUCUAAGAGUGUGAUGAUAUAUUUCUCUCUAACAUCCUGUAACAAUAUUGUCUGACUCAGACUUCAGCGAAGCUUGUACCGCGAGCCCUAACACCCACUACAACGAGCUCCUGUGUAUAUGUGUGUGCGUACACACUUUUAAGUGUGUUCCUCUCACUCUG
Molecule: long non-coding RNA, 1296 nt
Organism: Oreochromis aureus
Lineage: Eukaryota; Metazoa; Chordata; Actinopteri; Cichliformes; Cichlidae
Exons: 3
Source: RefSeq, a predicted model, not a curated record